RNAcentral lists this ribosomal RNA (443 nucleotides) under uncultured bacterium. RNAcentral's name for it is "partial 16S ribosomal RNA". It matches the Rfam family "Bacterial small subunit ribosomal RNA", at positions 338 to 795 of the family's 1533-position model. The record is from RNAcentral.
CCUACGGGUGGCAGCAGUGGGGAAUAUUGGGCAAUGGGCGCAAGCCUGACCCAGCAACGCCGCGUGAAGGAAGAAGGCUUUCGGGUUGUAAACUUCUUUUCUCAGGGACGAAGCAAGUAACGGUACCUGUGGAAUAAGCCACGGCUAACUACGUGCCAGCAGCCGCGGUAAUACGUAGGUGGCAAGCGUUAUCCGGAUUUACUGGGUGUAAAGGGCGUGUAGGCGGGAAAGCAAGUCAGAUGUGAAACCCAUGGGCUCAACCUGUGGCCUGCAUUUGAAACUGUUUUUCUUGAGUGCUGGAGAGGCAGACGGAAUUCCUAGUGUAGCGGUGAAAUGCGUAGAUAUAAGGAGGAACACCAGUGGCGAAGGCGGUCUGCUGGACAGCAACUGACGCUGAGGCGCGAAAGCGUGGGGAGCAAACAGGAUUAGAUACCCGAGUAGUC